CUCACCAUAGCUCAGUUGGUAGAGCAACGGACUGUAAUGCAUAGUCAUCCGUGUGUCCCGUGUUCGAAUCACGGUGGUGAGA
This is a non-coding RNA of Gorgonomyces haynaldii, 82 nucleotides long. The record is from the annotation of a GenBank genome assembly. NCBI's taxonomy places the organism in Eukaryota, Fungi, Chytridiomycota, Chytridiomycetes, Rhizophydiales, Gorgonomycetaceae.